Molecule: non-coding RNA, 84 nt
Organism: Candidatus Kerfeldbacteria bacterium
Lineage: Bacteria; Candidatus Kerfeldiibacteriota
Source: Rfam
GCCGUCGUGGCGGAAUUGGUAGACGCGCGGGUCUCAAAAACCCGUGAAGGCAACUUCGUGUCGGUUCGACUCCGACCGACGGCA